Transfer RNA from Lipomyces starkeyi NRRL Y-11557, 82 nucleotides. It matches the Rfam family "tRNA". Rfam says of the family: Transfer RNA (tRNA) molecules are approximately 80 nucleotides in length. Their secondary structure includes four short double-helical elements and three loops (D, anti-codon, and T loops). Further hydrogen bonds mediate the characteristic L-shaped molecular structure. tRNAs have two regions of fundamental functional importance: the anti-codon, which is responsible for specific mRNA codon recognition, and the 3' end, to which the tRNAs corresponding amino acid is attached (by aminoacyl-tRNA synthetases). tRNAs cope with the degeneracy of the genetic code in two manners: having more than one tRNA (with a specific anti-codon) for a particular amino acid; and 'wobble' base-pairing, i.e. permitting non-standard base-pairing at the 3rd anti-codon position. Lineage: Eukaryota; Fungi; Ascomycota; Lipomycetes; Lipomycetales; Lipomycetaceae. The record is from Rfam.
GGCGCUAUGGCCGAGCGGUUAAGGCGAGAGAUUAGAAAUCUCUUUCCCUCUGGGAGCGCAGGUUCGAGUCCUGCUGGCGUCG